This 505-nucleotide ribosomal RNA is filed under the name uncultured bacterium. RNAcentral describes it as "partial 16S ribosomal RNA". It matches the Rfam family "Bacterial small subunit ribosomal RNA", at positions 29 to 523 of the family's 1533-position model. The record is from RNAcentral.
AGUGAACGCUGGCGGUAGGCCUAACACAUGCAAGUCGAACGGCCGCACAGGAGAGCUUGCUCUCUGGGUGGCGAGUGGCGGACGGGUGAGGAAUACAUCGGAAUCUACUCUGUCGUGGGGGAUAACGUAGGGAAACUUACGCUAAUACCGCAUACGACCUACGGGUGAAAGCAGGGGACCUUCGGGCCUUGCGCGAUUGAAUGAGCCGAUGUCGGAUUAGCUAGUUGGCGGGGUAAGGGCCCACCAAGGCGACGAUCCGUGGCUGGUCUGAGGGGGUGUUCCGCCACACUGGAACUGAGACACGGUCAGACUCCUACGGGAGGCAGCAGUGGGGAAUAUUGGACAAUGGGCGCAAGCCUGAUCCAGCCAUACCGCGUGGGUGAAGAAGGCCUUCGGGUUGUAAAGCCCUUUUGUUGGGAAAGAAAUCCAGCUGGCUAAUACCCGGUUGGGAUGACGGUACCCAAAGAAUAAGCACCGGCUAACUUCGUGCCAGCCGCCGCCGGAA